UGGAGGACCGAACCGACUAAUGUUGAAAAAUUAGCGGAUGACCUGUGGCUGGGGGUGAAAGGCCAAUCAAACCGGGAGAUAGCUGGUUCUCCCCGAAAGCUAUUUAGGUAGCGCCUCGUGAAUUCAUCUCCGGGGGUAGAGCACUGUUUCGGCUAGGGGGCCAUCCCGGCUUACCAACCCGAUGCAAACUGCGAAUACCGGAGAAUGUUAUCACGGGAGACACACGGCGGGUGCUAACGUCCGUCGUGAAGAGGGAAACAACCCAGACCGCCAGCUAAGGUCCCAAAGUCAUGGUUAAGUGGGAAACGAUGUGGGAAGGCCCAGACAGCCAGGAUGUUGGCUUAGAAGCAGCCAUCAUUUAAAGAAAGCGUAAUAGCUCACUGGUCGAGUCGGCCUGCGCGGAAGAUGUAACGGGGCUAAACCAUGCACCGAAGCUGCGGCAGCGACACUGUGUGUUGUUGGGUAGGGGAGCGUUCUGUAAGCCUGUGAAGGUGUGUCGUGAGGCAUGCUGGAGGUAUCAGAAGUGCGAAUGCUGACAUAAGUAACGAUAAAGCGGGUGAAAAGCCCGCUCGCCGGAAGACCAAGGGU
Molecule: ribosomal RNA, 588 nt
Filed under: Salmonella enterica subsp. enterica serovar Enteritidis
Lineage: Bacteria; Pseudomonadati; Pseudomonadota; Gammaproteobacteria; Enterobacterales; Enterobacteriaceae
Description: partial 23S ribosomal RNA
Rfam family: Bacterial large subunit ribosomal RNA
Source: RNAcentral